RNAcentral lists this long non-coding RNA (9628 nucleotides) under Manihot esculenta (cassava). Its description in RNAcentral is "long non-coding RNA (MESC_LNC002149)". The record is from RNAcentral. Lineage: Eukaryota; Viridiplantae; Streptophyta; Magnoliopsida; Malpighiales; Euphorbiaceae.
AAAACAUCUUAGUAAUUACUAAAAAAUAAUUAUCACAACAGUAGGUUAAGAACAUAGCAUACAGAGUUAGAGAGAGGCUAAAGCCUGCAAACCAUGCAAUUAAUUACAGGAAAAUUAGGUCAGGAGACUCAAUACUAUAUAAUAGUUUACUAAAAACGCCAAUACUAUAUAAUAGUUUACUAAAAACGCCAGACUGGAGAUGCAAUCAUGCAAGCGGUGCUUCAGAUGCAUACAAAAAUGACACAGGAAAUCCAAUUGGUAUAAUUACUAGCAUUGAACAGCAGAGUCAGAAAUUAGGAUAAUAUUCCCCCCCUAAAACAUGAGAAAAUUUUGCUUUUGCAAGAAAGAGUAAGCAUAUUAAUCUCUAAUAACUUGGGGGUCAUGUAUACCACGCAAACUCUUUCAAUAUAUAUGAUUUUUUAUGGAGGCUACCAUAUCUUAUUGAAGCAUCUUAAGGAAGGACACGAAAACAAGUAAAUAGACAGGCUAUUGUGUUCAAUCAUAUAUAAAUACAAAUAAGCAUAAGAUCAUGAAACUAGUAAAAGAAGGGGUAGGGAAAUUCUUUUCAAAUCACAGCUAGAGCUACAACUAGGGGUGUGCAGUUUUGUUCUAGUUCAAGGCAUGGUUUUAAAUCAUGAUCAUGGUUGUGUUAGUCAUAGAAAAUAGAAACAGGCUUGUAAUGGCCAUAACAUAACGGUAACAGCAUAUUGCUAUGCAAUUUUUUUAAAGAAUUUACAAAGUUCAUAAAAUGAAUAAAUAUUCAAAGAUAAAUUAAAAUUAAUAUAUACAACUAAGUAAUAAACAUAAAUAUAUCAAAUAAAACAAAUUAAAAAGUUUCUCUUUCUUAUAUAUCAUUAGUAGUCAAUAGACAUCAAUUUAAACCCAAAAUAAUUAUGUAGAUAUUAAAGGAAAAUUUAUUACUUAGUCCCUGUGAAAUGGUGAAACUAACAGGUUAAUCCCUGUAUUUUCAAAAAUACAAUAAAUAGUCACUACAAUCUUGAAAAUUUAACCAAAAAGUCCAUUCUAUUAAAAUUUAACACUAUUACCAUUAGUCCAUACGGUAAAAGGUUAGAGAAAAGCUAUCAAUAACAGUGCAAAACUAUAGUAACAGUGUUAAAACUUAACAGGAGGGACAUUUUAGUUGAGUUUUCAAAACCAGAGGGGACUAUUUAGUGCAUUUCUUAAAACACAAGGACUAACAAGUUUAGCCAUAUCACAAGGACUAAAUAGUAAUUUUUCCAUAUUAAAAACUACUUAUUUUACUUGUGAAAAUUAAAUAAUUAGAAACCCAUAAUAUUUAAAAUAUUAACUUCAAGAUUAUUUAAUUUUCUUUGAUUUUAUCUUGCCAGAGCUUAAAUUUACAUUUAACAAAUAUUAUUAAGAGUAAAUUAUACUUUAAUCUCUGAGUUUUAGUGUAAUUAACGGAUCUAUUUUUAAAAUCGAACACUUAAAUCCCUGUAUAUUUAUUCCGUCCAAUAAAUAGUCCUUCCAUCUACUUUUUCAGAAAGGCUGCUAUUACGUGAAUAAGAAAAGUCUUUAUUACCUUUACUUAAUUUUGAGAUGUUAAAGAAACAUAAAUUGCAUCAUUUAAUUAAAUUCAACAAAUUUUAGACACUUUACUUCUUCAAUUAUUAUUUUAUAGUACAAUUCAAACCCUAAUAAUAACUAAAAUCCAGAUUAUUAGUGAAAGGAAAUCCUUCACAAUGUUAAUAUUUUCCCUACUGAAAUCGUUUAGCGAAAGCCUCAUCUUUCCAAUAUUUUCUAAUCUCCAUACGUUGUCAAACAAAGAUGGAAGGAGGGUGCUUCUUGUACAAUUCUCCUUCAAAUCAAAAGCACCAGUAAACACUUAAAGAGCAAUAAUACAUAAUAAUUAUGGAGCAACUAAAUGACAAAAAACCAACACCUUAAUGACAUCAAUAACAGUCCAAUUAGUUUUUUCAUCGGUCUGAAACUGCUCAACAACAACUGGAAUCUUUUUCCUCUCAACAUCACCAAUUCUAUGGUCUGAUAAUCAAAUCCUUUUCCUCUCAACACUGAUUUCCUUCUCUCGCUACUCAAAUAUCCAUAUACAAAUAUAAUUUCCACAACCACAAAUAAGGGUGCAAGAUUCGGUGUUUCAUCUCAUUUUUCAAUUUUUUUGCCCAUAAUAGAGAAAAAGAUGAUGCUAACUGUGCUCUGUGCUGCCCUUGUGGCUAGAUCUGUUACAUUAGACAUCAUCAUCAAGUGAAAAAUUAGGAAGCAUGGUAAGUGGGCUAGAGCAAUAUAAACAGUCAAAGACAUGGAGGAGAAAUGAGAAUAAGAUAUUUGAGAAUCGGGAUUGGUGAUUGAGAAUAAACGAUAUAAAGAUUGAGAAAUUUAUUUUUUCAGAGAAAGUCCAAGAAAAUAAGAGAAUGGGAAACCAAUUUGAAAUGGGAAGUGUUAAGAGUUGUGAAGGAAAGGGUAUUUUUGAGAAAAAAAUAUUCUCUCCUUUGACCAAGUUUUAAAACAUUGAACUAGAGAUUAAUCAACGGAGGGACCUCUAAUUUGAACAGUUUUAAAAUACAAAGAUUUAAGUGUUUAAUUUUAAAAAUAGAGAAACUGAUCCGUUAAUUACGCUAAAAGUCAGAGACUAAAAUGUAAUUUACCCUAUUAUUAAAGCUUAAAGCUUCCUUUAUAUUAUUUUCUAUUUAUUUGUGUUUGUUCUCCUUCAAUUUCAAACCAAAAUCACCUUGUUUAUUUGAUGAUUUAUACUCUUGAGCUCGAAAAUUGUAGAGAAAUGAGUACUUCACUUGAGUUGAUUGUGGAGAAAUCAGAGGAAGCUGAGAGAAAAUGAAGAGGAGCUAAAAUAGAUGGGCCAAGAUAGUUUUCUUCUCAAAAAAUCCCUCUACCACCUUUGUGAAAAAUUAAGAAAAUAAAAACAAAGAUAAAAAUUUAUCAAUUGAAUGAUAAACAAUUAAACAUUAAAACCAAGCAAGUAGCAACAUAUUAAUCAAGUAAUAAUAAACUAAAAAUUAAAAAUAAUGAAAAAGAAAAAAAAAACCUUCUGGUGGUGAGGACAAUAGGACAACAAGAACUCAAGAAGGGAGAAAAGAGGAGGAUAAGGGAAAUGGAAAAAGAAAAAAAAUUGUUCAGCUCAGCUUAGUGUUUAGAUCAACUAGAGACAGUGAGAGAGGAGAAUAAAGAGAGGGAAGGGAGGAGAAGAAGAAGGAGAAGGUUGGGUCAGAUAUGGAGAGUGUAGAGGAAGGGAGGAGAAGGAAGAAGAAGAAAGAGUACAUACCUGUUCUUAGUGCUUUUGUUGGCUGGCUGCUGUUUGGAAUGGAGAAGGAAUUAGGAGCUACUUUAAAGGUUUAAUUUUAAAAUCCUUUAACAUAAUUUGAAAAAAAAAGGCAAGUUAGCGAGCCAGGGGAUUUUAUCCUUCCAAGUUGCUUAUUCUGCUGGCAAAUUAGCUCACUGGAUAAGCCCUUGCAGCACUGGCUUAGUAUCAUGUAGUAUUUUUCUAGUCUUAAGCACUGCUUGAGGUUGAAUAAUCACUGAAUCCUCCUAAAAAGAAGGAUGGUUCUGAAUGAUUACUGCUUGAUCCCCUACCUUCUUUUUCAAGAAAGACACAUGAAAAACAUGAUGAAUAGUAAUUUCUGGAGGCAGCUGCAACUUGUAUGCCACAGCACCCACUCUAGCCAACACUUGAUAAGAGCCACAGAACCUGGCACAGAGUUUAAAAUUUUUUAUUAUAGAUAGGGAAGAUUGUCUGUAAGGUUUCAGUCUUAAGUACACCCAAUUCCCAACUUUAAAUUGCCUUUCAGACCUCCUUUUAUCUGCAUGUUGUUUCAUCCUGUUUUGAGCUGGCAACAAAUUUUCUCGAAUGAUAUGAGAUAAAUGCUGCCUAGAUCGUAGAAAAUCCAUCACAACUUCCACUGCACAAUCUUGUAAUGGUACAGCAGCCAAAGGAGGAGGCUUAUACCCAUAUAUAUAAAGCUUCGAAGAGAGACAUCUGUAAGCUACUAUGUUGGCUAGUGUUAUACUGCCACUCAACCAUAGGCAACCACUUCACUGAAGAAUGGAGCUGUUGAAAAGAAAGACAUCUCAAAUAGCCUUCCAAACACUGGGUUUAUCUCUCAGAAUGCCCAUCAGACUGCGGGUGAUAGGCAAAACUGUGAGCUAGGAAGGUUCCCAACCUUUUGAACGUCUCCUUCCAAAAUAAACUAGUAAAAAUUUUAUCCUGAUCAGAGACAAUUAUAGAAGACAACCCAUGCAGCUUAAAGAUGGAAUCAAGGAAAGUUUGAGCAACUCCAGAGGCAGUAAAAGGAUUUUGUAAUGGUAAGAAAUGAGCAUAUUUGGUGUACCUAAGAUGACCACUAGAAUUGUGUCCUUGCCGAAGGAUUUUGGAAGUUGCUUAAUAAAAUCCAUGGUAACAUGCUGCCAAGCCUAAGAGGGAACUGGUAGAGGCUGUAAGAGACUAGUAGAAGGGCAGUGUUCAGCGUUACAUCGAGCACACACAUCACAUUUUUGUAUCCAAUCCAUAACUACCUUCAACAUUCCAGGCCAAUAGAAAUGUCUAGCCAACCUAACAUAGGUGGCAGCCUGAAUGUCCUCCUAAAUAGGAGUUGUGAUAGAGGCUCAACAAAUGAGUCCUCAAGUCUCUCUUAGUGCCCACAUACAAUCUGCUUUUAUGGAAUAAGAGCCCAUUCUUAAAAGAAUAUCCGAGAUGUGCAUGUUCAUCUAAGGAUAGAUGAGAAAUAAAAUCAGCAGCCUGAGUAUCUCCUUCAUAACUAUCAAUGAGCUGGUGCAUCCAAGUUGGCUGGACCACAGAAAUAGCCAUCAUCAAAGUAGCAUUACCUCCCUUUCAUAAACAAAGAGAGCCUUCGACACCCAUUCUGUAAAUAAUUUUAUACUGUAGCCUCAAAAGCUUAGAAAUGCCCUUCAACUGUAGAUUAGUAUGUAAUUUUUGCUCUAGAAGAUGCUUGAUACUUUUAUGAUCAGUCUUAAUGAAGAAAAGCCCAUGCUCCAAAUAGUGUCUCCACUUGGAGACUGCAAAUGUAAUGGCCAAUAACUCCCUUUCAUAAACAGAGAGAGCCCUUGAUCUAGGUCUAAAAGCCUUGGAAAUAUAAGCAAUAGGAUAGUUAUCCGGCUGCAAAAAUGCUCCCAUAACCAUCCCGCUUGCUUCAGUCUCCACUGUAAAUGGCUUAGAAAAAAUCAGGCAUGGCCAAAACAGGAGUUGCAACCAUUACAUCCCUUAAUUGGCAGAAAGCCUAUUGUGCUUCAACAGACCAUCGGAAUUUUAUUUUAUUUUUUUUAAAGUAGGUCCAUCAAAGGUCUACUGAUCAUUCCAUAAUUCUUGACAAAUUUCCGAUAAUACCCUAUCAAACCCAAGAAACUUCGCAACUCUUUGACUGAUUGAGGGUAAGGCCAAUUCGUGGACACUCACUCUUGUUGAGAUAAUAUAGCCUAAAUAGUCAAUUUCAGUUUUGCAAAAAGAGCAUUUACUGAGUUUAAUUAGCAAUUGCUGCUGCUGUAACACCUUAAAGACUUGCUCUAAAUGUUUAAGAUGCUCUUGCAAGCUAUAUAUAAGGAUGUCAUCAAAGAAAACCCACACAAACUUUCUUAGAAAGGGCUAGAAUAUAUAGUUCAUUAGAACUUGAAAAGUGACAGGUGCAUUAGUAAGCCCAAAGGCAUCACAGCGAACUCAUAGUGUCCGUGAUGAGUCCUAAAAGCAGUUUAACAUCAGGAGGUGACAUCCGGAUCUGAUGAUAUCCUGCCCUUAAAUCAAUUUUAAAAAAAAAAACUACUCCGUGCAACUCAUCGAAGAGAUCAUCAAUAAUAGGGAUAGAAAAUUUAUUUUUUACUGGCAUAUCAUUCAGCCUUCUAUAGUCGACACAAAAUCUCCAUGUACCAUCUUUCUUCUUAACCAAUAACACAAGGGAAGCAUAAGGACCGGUACUUGGCUGUAUGACUUUGUUACUCAGCAUCUCCUGCACCAAUUUCUCAAUCUCUUCAUUCUGAAAGUGUGGAUAUCUACAAGGUUUGAUGUUUAUAGGUUAGGCAUUAGGCAAAAGAGGAAUAGAGUGGUUAUGGGAUCUCAAAGGAGGAAGUUCUUGCGGUUCCUUAAAUAACCCUUCAUACUGAACCAAUAAUACUUGUAAUGCCUGCUGAAAAGCAUCAGGGGCUGAUGUAGUUGCUGAACAUUCAACUAACUCCAUCUCUACCUCUUGUGAAAAUGUUGCUUUAACACAAAACAUAGGCUGCUCAAAAUCUGCCCCUUGUUUAUGAAACAACUUGUCUCCGGAAACAUGAUUCACCUCCUCCACUUCUAACCCUCCUUCACCAACUCCUCGCAGUGAUACAAUCUUCCCAUGCACCUGGAAACUGAUGUUGAAAUUCUCAAAGUCAAAUAAGACUGGAUUGUGUAGUUUCAUCCAAUCAACCCCUAAAAUCAUUACAAAACCACCCAGUGGUAACAAUCUAACAUCAAGGGUGAAAGAAUGCUCCUGAAUCUUCCAUGUAAACCCUAGUGACCUAUUCGAGCUAAAAAUCUUUCUCCCAUCAACUACUGUGACAACAACCGCUGGAGCUGUAACAAUUGGCACCUUCAUCUCCUUAGCCACCUGCUCAUCCAGAAAACUAUGAGUGCUCCCACUAUUUAUCAAAAUUAGUAACUCCCUGUUCUUAUAAUGCCCUAUCAUCCUUAUAGUAUCAUCCCCUUGACUCCCUUCUAAUGCAUGAAUUGAAAAGGUUGCCUCUUCAUGUGUUUCAUUUCCCUCCCCCUCCAUAACAUCAUGCCACUCCUCUUCACCUUCCUCCACAGUCUACCCACUGUCUUCUUGCAGUGCCAUUACAGUCUUGACUUUACAAACAUGCCCAGGAAAAUAUCUAUCUCCACAUCUAUAGCAAGGUUCAGGUGGUCGCAUAGCAACAGGGUUAUUUGUAGUCUUGUUUAUUGAGGUUUGGCUGGUUGGGGGUGAGUUCUUUUGUGAAAGACUUGAUUUAUUUAUAAUGGUGGUAUUCUCUAUAUUUGGGGGCUUGGUUGCUGAAGAAUUAGUUUGGCUGAGAAGUGUAGUUUUAUAGGAAUAGUUGGUAGAAGAAACUGGAUUAGUUUGUUUGAAAUUGGCUUGAACAGGUUUAGUUUGGAUAUGGUCUUUUUGGUGCUGUUAAGAAGUUGCUUCUGAAAUUUGGCUAUUUGGAAAGCGUUAGUAAGGGUGUUUGGCUUGAGCAUUCUCAAUACAAGUCUAAUAUCAUCUUUCAACCCUCCGAUAAACUAUGAUAGAAAAUAGGCUUCUCCCCAACUAAAUAUUAUCCAUUCCACCCUAAUUCUUAUAUCUUCAAACUUAUCUUGGUAUUCCCUUAUAGUCCUUUCCUGUCUAAUUCUCAUUAAUUUCUCAAUCACAUCUUCCAGCCCUUCUUUCCCAAACCUUGCACAAAAAUCCCUCUCAAAAUUUGUCCAAGUAUGACCUGCUUCUUCUUUGAUCCAAUUAUGAAACCACGCAUCAACCCUAUCCACCAAAAAUAAGCUAGCUACCGAUACCAUUUGCUCUCUAGAAAUAUUAUAGAUCUCAAAAUAUUUGAGGCAUUUCCUAAUCCAAGCUCUAGGUUCUUUACCAUCACUUGUCACCAAUUUCAUUUUAGGAAUGAAUCUAGUCAUACCUUGAGCAUCGAGCAUCAGUCACAAAACCCAUGCUAUUGGAGUCUUGCACCGAAGAAGGAUGACUAGGACCUCUCGGCCUAGGGAAAAGACCUCGACCCCCAAAGGACCCAAUUGGAAUGCCCGCUGCUGCAGCAGGCUCUUCUGCGCCUUCACUACUCUCGCCGACCACUCCUUUCCCUUUAUUUGGGAUAUUAGCCCCAAAUAUGCUUCGCAGCUCUUCCAAUAUAACAUUCUUAGUUUCCACUGUAUUCUUCUUAAUUUCUUCCCACAAUUCUUCUGUCUUUCUUAACGCUCUCUUGCAACAAUCGGAUCUAUUCCUCCACUUCCACCAACCUAGACUCCUGAUUCACUGCUGUGGAUCUAGUCAUCGCAAAAUUGGAUCGUAUUUCUCGCCGUGGCAUAGAUAUGGAAUCGAGACACCAAUCUUACAACCUUGGCAAUUGGGCUUUGAUACCAAAUUGUUAGGAACUAGAAGAGAAACUAGGAUGAGAAGAAGAAGAGAUUAGAUGAGAAUAGAAAAGGAAGCAGAAAUAGAGAUGAGGAAGAAUUUAUUAUCUCAUUUUCAUAUCAUGGCUGAUUACAAUCUUCCUGUGGGCCUCAUAACAAACUUGUAGCAACUUUGCAACAAACUUGUAUUUAGCUAAUCCCAAUUCCCUCCAAAACUUACAGCUGAGCUGUCAUCUAAUUAUUUUCUAUUCCUUCAAGAAUAUGUAACACUGUACUUUCAGUAUGAUUCCUGAUCACUUUGAUUUUCAAUUACGGUUCGGUGCUUUAGUUCUGGCCCAAUCCAAUUCAAAUAAUUAAGCUUAAAUUACCAUUUAAAUUUUAUAGUUGCUGAUAUGCAGAUAUAUAUAUAACAUGCCUUUUAACUAUUUAUUAAUUAUGUAGUCUUGAUAUUGAGCACUUAGGAUUGUUCUACUUCUAGCAGAAAUGGCACUUUUGACAGAGCAAUACACGAUCUGGGCAUGUACCAGGCCAGAAAAAUAUAUAUAGAAACAUAUUGUAUUAAAAGGUUAUAAUAUAUCUAAAAAAUCAUAGAAACAUAUAUGAAUAAAAUCUUGUUCAGUUUGAUACAGUUUCAGUUUGUUUCUCAGUGAAGAACCAGAUACGAACCAAAAUAAUAAAAUAAUCUUGGAUCCAAUACGAUUCUUCAGUCCGGUUCAAAACUCCCAACCAUACACAUACUCCCAACAGCAAGAUUCAAGACUAAAAUUCAAAAAUGCUCAACCUAGAUGAAAAAUCCUUGACAAAACCUUAGGAUCUAUCCAGCUUACUCGUUUACAUAGCAAACCUCAUUGGCACCUAGAUUAACAUCUCUUACAAUAUCCAAAAACAGGCCUUGUGCACAGAUUUGCAUUUCUAUUAGUAAAAGGAUAUUAAUCCAGGCCCUCAAUGAACAAGUCUUCAAACAAAGUGGUAGCCCAAGACAUCCAGCUCCACCAAACUCACCACUCCACAAUUAGAUAACACAACUUUGAAUAUGAAAGAAACAUAUCAUAAUUAAAAUCCUUAAUUCUUUUUCCUAAAACAAUAAUUCCAUUUUCCAGCAUUUUAAAAUGAAUCACAAUUUAGUUAGUGACUUGCACAUAGUUUUGGACUUUUGGGAAAAUCCAAUUUUAUCUCAUUCCACUUGAUGGUUAUAUUUUGGUUAAUAAUCUGGUAGACUGUUGAACCAAUCAGACAUCCAAAAUAAAUCAUGUGUAGCAGUUAUGAUAUAUUGUUGAUUUCAUCAGCAUGUGAAAUAAAACAUAAAAAGUCUCUUAAAACUACUGACUUGCACAAAGUGCAUCCAGGAUUCGAUGCUGAACACUGUCAUGCAAAUCAUGGAUGCAACAUGAUUAAAGAAACAUAAAGGAAGCACUUACCCAUCAAUUAAUUCCUCAAGUUGUGGCUGAAGCUCUUUGUCCCGCAAUUCCUCAAUCCUCUUUGAUAUGGAAUCAAUUCUGUGAAUUGCAACUCUGAUUCUAGAGUGUAGAUCCUUAACAACAGCCCGAGUUUUAUCAAUUUUGUUGC